Molecule: ribosomal RNA, 538 nt
Filed under: uncultured Entrophospora
Lineage: Eukaryota; Fungi; Glomeromycota; Glomeromycetes; Entrophosporales; Entrophosporaceae
Description: eukaryotic LSU rRNA
Rfam family: Eukaryotic large subunit ribosomal RNA
Source: RNAcentral
GGACAUCAUAGAGGGUGAUAAUCCCGUCUGUUACUGCUGGAUCCCUUAAUUGUGAGUUCGUUAUAUGAUACGCUUUCAAAGAGUCGAGUUGUUUGGGAUUGCAGCUCCAAAUGGGUGGUAAACAUCACCUAAGGCUAAAUAUUUGCGAGAGACCGAUAGCGAACAAGUACCGUGAGGGAAAGAUGAAAAGAACUUUGAAAAGAGAGUUAAAAAGUAUGUGAAAUUGUUGAAAGGGAAACGAUUGAAGUCAGUCGUGCAGUCAUCAAUUCAGCGGUUAACAUUUAUGUUUUCCGUGUAAUUUGGUGUCUGUUGGUUAGCAUCAAUUUUGAUUGUUAUAAAAAGGUUAAGGGGAUGUGGCUCCUUCGGGAGUGUUAUAACCCUUAGCGUAAUGUGACGAUUAGGAUUGAGGUUUGCAACGAAUACCUUUUAGGGCAGUUUCACCUGGCCUCUCGUAGGAUUUCGGGUGGUGAUAGCAUGCUAUCACUAUUCGAACUCUCUACGAAAAGGUUGGAGUGUAAAACUAAUUCGUUAAGGAUGC